CCUUAAAUUAUAAAUUAUUAUAAUUUUUGGCUCAAAUUUUAUAAAUUAUUAUAAUUAAAUCUCACAACCUAAUUCAAUGGACUAAAUAUUAAGUUUUCUCUGACAUAGAAGUGAUGUGACAUUUCAAUGAUUAUCUUGUUAUUUAUCACAAUACUAUUACAUUACUUCUAUAUUAGCGACACAUUAAUAUUUAACUAAUUAAAUUAUAUUAUAUGACUUAAUUAUAACAAUUGAUAAAGUUUAAGCUAGCAAUUAUAAUAACGAACAAUAUUAUCAAUAAGCCCUAAAAAGAGUUUUUAUUAUAUAUUUAUAAGCCAACAUUCAUCGAAUGGUCGGAGUUUUCCACUAAAUCACAUCGUAUGACUAAUAGAAAUACGUUCAUUCUAUGAAUCAUAAGCUCUAAACAGUUAUAUAUCCAAAAAUAAAAAAUAAAAAAUACUGAUAUAAAGAAUGCACUCGUCGCAAUUAAGGGUUCAACUAUAAUGCUCACGGAUUUUGACUCGACUUAAUGUAUCUGGAUGUUAAGUUUAUUAUUGGGCCUUUUAUCAUUAUGCCUAUUGUGAAUCAUAGUCUCCCUCAAGUUAUUAGAGUCGUUCAACUUAUUAAUUUUAUAGGCCUAUUAUUACUAAAUAAGACGUUGGAUUUAUUUUAGCUAAUAAUAAAUAGGAAAAACUUCAAAAACCUGCCUUGUGGUUUCACAUUUUUUCACUUUAGUAUCUUGUGGUUUAAAAUGUAUCAAGUUAGUACCCUGUGGUUUUUCACUUUAUCAAUCUAGUACUCUGUGGUUUAAAGUGUAUCAAGUUAGUACCCUGUAGUUUUGCACUUUAUCACUUUAAUACCUUGUGGUUUCUCACUUUAUCAGUUUAGUACCCUCUGGUUUAAAAACCAUAAGGGACUAACUUGAAACAAAAUUAAAACCACAUGGUAUUAAACUGAUAAAGUGCAAAACCACAGGGUACUAACUUGAUACACUUUAAACCAUAGGGUACUAAAAUGAUAAAGUGAAAAAUCACAGGGUACUAAAUUAAUACACUUUAAGCCACAAAAUAUUAAAGUGAUAAAAUAUAAAAUCACAGAGGAAUUUUUUGAAGUUUUUCCUAAUAAAUAGGUAACACAUGCU
This 1120-nucleotide long non-coding RNA is filed under the name Ananas comosus (pineapple). RNAcentral describes it as "long non-coding RNA (ACOM_LNC004139)". Lineage: Eukaryota; Viridiplantae; Streptophyta; Magnoliopsida; Poales; Bromeliaceae. The record is from RNAcentral.